Non-coding RNA from Peromyscus maniculatus bairdii (prairie deer mouse), 559 nucleotides. The record is from RefSeq and is a predicted model, not a curated record. Lineage: Eukaryota; Metazoa; Chordata; Mammalia; Rodentia; Cricetidae.
CCGGCACGCUCCCCGGGUCGCCUCCUCGGUGGCUCCAGCCCCGCAUUGCUCAAUCUGGCCUUGCCACGUGGGAGCUGCCGAGUCCGCAGCCAGAGGCUAAGUGGCACCCGAGGAGGAGGGAAAAAAUGUGUCAGCGCCUCCGCCCUCAAGUCACACACACGGAAUCCCAACCAUUCAGGAGGCAGUUUGAAAUGACCAGCCCCCUGCUAGACUUGCAUCAGGCUAGGACCAUGGGGAUCUUCACUGACUCCUAGAAACCAGAUCCCACGUCGGACACAGCAAAGCCCCCUUGGACCCUGGGGAAUCGAUACAGGUGGAUGCUGGGAACCAAACAUGGGUCCUCUCGAAGAGCAGCCAGUGCUCACUGAGCCAUCUCCACAGCUCCAUGAUAAACCUUAAUAAAGGAGGAAGAGGAAGGAGAGAAGGGAGAGGAGGCGGUGUCAGCAGUCGCUACUUGCCUGUCAGGAAAAGAGCCCUCUCCAGGAAAUCAAAUUCUCUGAUACUUUCAUCUUGAAUGCUCAAGCUAUGAAAAAUAAACCCCCACACACAGUUUAAGCCA